Molecule: ribosomal RNA, 497 nt
Filed under: uncultured bacterium
Lineage: Bacteria
Description: partial 16S ribosomal RNA
Rfam family: Bacterial small subunit ribosomal RNA
Source: RNAcentral
GAUGAACGCUGGCGGCGUGCCUAAUACAUGCAAGUCGAGCGAACAGACGAGGAGCUUGCUCCUCUGACGUUAGCGGCGGACGGGCGAGUAACACGUGGAUAACCUACCUAUAAGACUGGGAUAACUUCGGGAAACCGGAGCUAAUACCGGAUAAUAUAUUGAACCGCAUGGUUCAAUAGUGAAAGACGGUUUUGCUGUCACUUAUAGAUGGAUCCGCGCCGCAUUAGCUAGGUGGUAAGGUAACGGCUUACCAAGGCAACGAUGCGUAGCCGACCUGAGAGGGUUAUCCGCCACACUGGAACUGAGACACGGUCCAGACUCCUACGGGAGGCAGCAGUAGGGAAUCUUCCGCAAUGGGCGAAAGCCUGACGGAGCAACGCCGCGUGAGUGAUGAAGGUCUUCGGAUCGUAAAACUCUGUUAUUAGGGAAGAACAAAUGUGUAAGUAACUAUGCACGUCUUGACGGUACCUAAUCAGAAAGCCACGGCUAACUACGUG